GGGCGGCGUGCCUAAUACAUGCAAGUCGAACGAACUCUGGUAUUGAUUGGUGCUUGCAUCAUGAUUUACAUUUGAGUGAGUGGCGAACUGGUGAGUAACACGUGGGAAACCUGCCCAGAAGCGGGGGAUAACACCUGGAAACAGAUGCUAAUACCGCAUAACAACUUGGACCGCAUGGUCCGAGUUUGAAAGAUGGCUUCGGCUAUCACUUUUGGAUGGUCCCGCGGCGUAUUAGCUAGAUGGUGGGGUAACGGCUCACCAUGGCAAUGAUACGUAGCCGACCUGAGAGGGUAAUCGGCCACAUUGGGACUGAGACACGGCCCAAACUCCUACGGGAGGCAGCAGUAGGGAAUCUUCCACAAUGGACGAAAGUCUGAUGGAGCAACGCCGCGUGAGUGAAGAAGGGUUUCGGCUCGUAAAACUCUGUUGUUAAAGAAGAACAUAUCUGAGAGUAACUGUUCAGGUAUUGACGGUAUUUAACCAGAAAGCCACGGCUAACUACGUGCCAGCAGCCGCGGUAAUACGUAGGUGGCAAGCGUUGUCCGGAUUUAUUGGGCGUAAAGCGAGCGCAGGCGGUUUUUUAAGUCUGAUGUGAAAGCCUUCGGCUCAACCGAAGAAGUGCAUCGGAAACUGGGAAACUUGAGUGCAGAAGAGGACAGUGGAACUCCAUGUGUAGCGGUGAAAUGCGUAGAUAUAUGGAAGAACACCAGUGGCGAAGGCGGCUGUCUGGUCUGUAACUGACGCUGAGGCUCGAAAGUAUGGGUAGCAAACAGGAUUAGAUACCCUGGUAGUCCAUACCGUAAACGAUGAAUGCUAAGUGUUGGAGGGUUUCCGCCCUUCAGUGCUGCAGCUAACGCAUUAAGCAUUCCGCCUGGGGAGUACGGCCGCAAGGCUGAAACUCAAAGGAAUUGACGGGGGCCCGCACAAGCGGUGGAGCAUGUGGUUUAAUUCGAAGCUACGCGAAGAACCUUACCAGGUCUUGACAUACUAUGCAAAUCUAAGAGAUUAGACGUUCCCUUCGGGGACAUGGAUACAGGUGGUGCAUGGUUGUCGUCAGCUCGUGUCGUGAGAUGUUGGGUUAAGUCCCGCAACGAGCGCAACCCUUAUUAUCAGUUGCCAGCAUUAAGUUGGGCACUCUGGUGAGACUGCCGGUGACAAACCGGAGGAAGGUGGGGAUGACGUCAAAUCAUCAUGCCCCUUAUGACCUGGGCUACACACGUGCUACAAUGGAUGGUACAACGAGUUGCGAACUCGCGAGAGUAAGCUAAUCUCUUAAAGCCAUUCUCAGUUCGGAUUGUAGGCUGCAACUCGCCUACAUGAAGUCGGAAUCGCUAGUAAUCGCGGAUCAGCAUGCCGCGGUGAAUACGUUCCCGGGCCUUGUACACACCGCCCGUCACACCAUGAGAGUUUGUAACACCCAAAGUCGGUGGGGUAACCUUUUAGGAACCAGCCGCCUAAGGUGGACAA
Molecule: ribosomal RNA, 1467 nt
Filed under: Lactiplantibacillus plantarum
Lineage: Bacteria; Bacillati; Bacillota; Bacilli; Lactobacillales; Lactobacillaceae
Description: bacterial SSU rRNA
Rfam family: Bacterial small subunit ribosomal RNA
Source: RNAcentral